This 437-nucleotide ribosomal RNA is filed under the name uncultured Oscillospiraceae bacterium. Its description in RNAcentral is "bacterial SSU rRNA". It matches the Rfam family "Bacterial small subunit ribosomal RNA", at positions 341 to 792 of the family's 1533-position model. Lineage: Bacteria; Bacillati; Bacillota; Clostridia; Eubacteriales; Oscillospiraceae. The record is from RNAcentral.
ACGGGAGGCAGCAGUGGGGGAUAUUGCACAAUGGGGGAGACCCUGAUGCAGCAACGCCGCGUGAGGGAAGAAGGUCUUCGGAUUGUAAACUUCUUUUAUGAGGGACGAAGGACGUGACGGUACCUCAUGAAUAAGCCACGGCCAACUACGUGCCAGCAGCCGCGGUAAUACGUAGGUGGCAAGCGUUAUCCGGAUUUACUGGGUGUAAAGGGCGCGUAGGCGGGGAUGCAAGUCAGAUGUGAAAUCUAUGGGCUUAACUCAUAAACUGCAUUUGAAACUGUAUCUCUUGAGUGCUGGAGAGGUAGACGGAAUUCCUUGUGUAGCGGUGAAAUGCGUAGAUAUAAGGAAGAACACCAGUGGCGAAGGCGGUCUACUGGGCAGUAACUGACGCUGAGGCGCGAAAGCGUGGGGAGCAAACAGGAUUAGAUACCCUGGUA